Hippocampus comes (tiger tail seahorse) is the source of this 126-nucleotide long non-coding RNA. RefSeq lists it as uncharacterized. The record is from RefSeq and is a predicted model, not a curated record. Lineage: Eukaryota; Metazoa; Chordata; Actinopteri; Syngnathiformes; Syngnathidae. The transcript is spliced from 3 exons.
GGAACUUCGAGUGUGAUUGCGGAGCAACUGCCAUCAUUCGCUCUGGGAAAUCGUGCUUCCGCCGACUGCAAGGACAAUCUUCCCUGUGUGUCGAGUCUUUUGUUUAACUUUGUUAAGCUGGGACAG